RNAcentral lists this long non-coding RNA (1416 nucleotides) under Astyanax mexicanus (Mexican tetra). RNAcentral describes it as "lncRNA (ENSAMXG00005000232.1)". The record is from RNAcentral. Lineage: Eukaryota; Metazoa; Chordata; Actinopteri; Characiformes; Acestrorhamphidae.
AUUUUUUUCUUUUCCCAGACAUUCAUAUUAACAGUAUAUUUUAAUCCCUGUGUAGUUCACUAUCAAAUGUUUCAGUACCAAAGACAUAAUUAAAAAAAAAAAAAUUAAACACCACUAGCCUGAUAAACUUGCUCUGGCUGUAUCUCCAGCGUCAGUUUACCAAACCAUAGACAGACUAAGCAACAAUCAGUCAGCAGUCACCUCUAUAGGCAUUUUUAGUUGCAGUAAUGCUAGCGAAUCUGCUGUCUAAAAUCGUUUUUAUAGAAAAAAGGGACUGUCUCGCGGGCUUCCUCUAUCGGCGGCUCAUUUUCAGCUCUCCAUAAACCGGCUCUGGUGGCGCUCUGAGGUCACGUGGGGUCGCUCGGCCAAUCCGGUUCAGGCUCAAUUCUCAAUUAGCAAUUUUGGGUGCGGUAGCAGGAGCUAAUCUCACUCAUUAGGGGAACUUUCCAGAUCCAGGAGCUAAACUUCACUCAGGGCUUCGGGACAGAUAAGAGGUGUGUGGAUCUGAAGCAGCAGAAUCAGCACACUGUAAAUAAUCAGUUUUGUAUUUUGCCGGCUGCAGGAAUCACAAACAGACUGACAAAACAACUGCCUGGAUAUGGACUGAUAUCAUCGUGCAUGCCUACGUUUGUGUAUUGAUUUGAAAAUCAGCUAAAGAGCAGGACAUAAUAAAAUGCCUCAGGCCUUGUCCAAGUUUCGGCAGCCUGUGAAUCGGCCUGUCUCAGUGACUGCUGAUGAAGUGCAGAGGAAAAGACAGAGGUGCAACACCUGUAAAAAGUAUAAGCCUCAUGAAAAGCUCCCACCUAUAGCUGGGAGAACCCCGUAUCUGCCACAUUCAGAGGAGGAGGACUGGGAGAAGGAGAUUGAAGAAUUUUCACACAGGGUGAAACAGGAGAAGAUGAAGGAGAUGCCCUAUGAUCCUGAGGAUGAGUUGAAAGUGGCCAUGGAUGAAAUGACCCUGUAUGCUGUCCCCAGAGCCCCCAUGCCUAACCAGGACCACUACAGCCCCUCCAAACACCACGUUCCUCCUGUCAAGUGGACCCGCUACAUCUACACCAAAGUGCCGGACCAGUUCAAAGAUGCUGAGGAAUAAAGGUCACGUCCUGUUUUUUUUGGUGCAGCUGCUCUCAUUUUACCAGAUCAACUAAGCAAGCAGUUAUGUUCUGAACAUUUUAGACUGGAAAUGGAUUAUGGAAUUAUUAGUUUUGGUAGAAGUUCUUUAAAGCACUUUAAUCUGUUUUAUAUUGUUUUAAUUUAGUAAAUUCUGUCCUCCUUAGGAUUGAAUACUAGGAUUAAUUGCAAUAGGUUUGUUGAUUCGUAAUGGGCAUUGGGGCAUUCUUCUGUUGUUUCCUUUGGCGGUUUCUACAAAUCAUUCACUUUAAUAAAAUCAGUCAUGUUUGUUUGGAGGAGUUAAUG